This 87-nucleotide microRNA precursor is filed under the name Nomascus leucogenys (northern white-cheeked gibbon). RNAcentral describes it as "miRNA (ENSNLEG00000036248.1)". The record is from RNAcentral. Lineage: Eukaryota; Metazoa; Chordata; Mammalia; Primates; Hylobatidae.
UUAUAUUAGGUUGGUGCAAAAGUAAUUGUGAUUUUUGCCAUAAGUUUUAAUGGCAAAAUCUGCAAUUUCUUUUGCACCAGCCUAAUA